RNAcentral lists this ribosomal RNA (468 nucleotides) under uncultured bacterium. RNAcentral's name for it is "partial 16S ribosomal RNA". It matches the Rfam family "Bacterial small subunit ribosomal RNA", at positions 28 to 507 of the family's 1533-position model. The record is from RNAcentral.
GACGAACGCUGGCGGCGUGCUUAACACAUGCAAGUCGAACGGAAAGGCCCUGCUUUUGUGGGGUGCUCGAGUGGCGAACGGGUGAGUAACACGUGAGUAACCUGCCCUUGACUUUGGGAUAACUUCAGGAAACUGGGGCUAAUACCGGAUAGGAGCUCCUGCUGCAUGGUGGGGGUUGGAAAGUUUCGGCGGUAGGGGAUGGACUCGCGGCUUAUCAGCUUGUUGGUGGGGUAGUGGCUUACCAAGGCUUUGACGGGUAGCCGGCCUGAGAGGGUGACCGGCCACAUUGGGACUGAGAUACGGCCCAGACUCCUACGGGAGGCAGAAGUGGGGAAUAUUGCACAAUGGGCGGAAGCCUGAUGCAGCAACGCCGCGUGCGGGAUGAAGGCCUUCGGGUUGUAAACCGCUUUAGCCUGUGACGAAGCGUGAGUGACGGUAAUGGGUAAAGAAGCACCGGCUAACUACGUG